Molecule: ribosomal RNA, 253 nt
Filed under: uncultured Sphingopyxis sp.
Lineage: Bacteria; Pseudomonadati; Pseudomonadota; Alphaproteobacteria; Sphingomonadales; Sphingopyxidaceae
Description: partial 16S ribosomal RNA
Rfam family: Bacterial small subunit ribosomal RNA
Source: RNAcentral
UACAGAGGGUGCGAGCGUUAAUCGGAUUUACUGGGCGUAAAGCGCGCGUAGGCGGUUUUUUAAGUCAGAGGUGAAAGCCUGGAGCUCAACUCCAGAACUGCCUUUGAAACUGGAAAACUUGAAUCUUGGAGAGGUCAGUGGAAUUCCGAGUGUAGAGGUGAAAUUCGUAGAUAUUCGGAAGAACACCAGUGGCGAAGGCGACUGACUGGACAAGCAUUGACGCUGAGGUGCGAAAGCGUGGGGAGCAAACAGG